CCACCCCGUCCUUGGGAUUUUGCCGCGCGGCGCCUCGUCUCGCCGGCCCGGCGACCACAGGCAGGCAGUCCACGGCCAGGAUGGCGGCGUGCCCCGCCGCGACCACGUACACGCACGGCACUCCGCGCCUCCCCUCCCUCUCCUGCGGUUCCUAACAGACGCACUCGUUGUCGUCGGCGUCCCCGGAGUUGGCGCAGGAGGGGCUGGCCGACGUCCCCCGUCGACGUCCUCCUCCCUCUUGUCCUGCGUGAUCUGGAGGGGGAUGGAGCGGGCGGCCAUCAUCUGAGGCUAGGCCACGUCGGACCGGGAGGGGACCAUGGCGCCGCCCCAUCGCGGUCGUCCUCGUUCACCUCUGCUCCAGCAGCGUUGCCUUAGGAGAUGGGGGCCAUCGACCUCGGGAACCCGCUCCUCAACCGCACCGUCGACGGCUUCCUCAAGAUCGGCGCCGUGCUGUUGCUGGGGUGUAUGUAGGCAUGGAGUAUGGAGUGGAAAGGGCCCGUGGUGACCGUGACUGGGUAAUGAUUCUCUGAAAAUGGAUCUCUCUUCAUGUUUCUUGCACUUAGCUGAACCUUAGGUGGAGGGAAAAUCUACCUGCAUGACUGCCUCCCCGUCGCAAACAUUAUUAUCUGCCUACUUAACAAUCUACAUCUUUCUUUUGUUGAGUAAGAUUUUGAGCUAAUUAGGGGUAACAACGCAUCCCGUCUCACUGAGUAUAGAAACGUUAGCCACAGGAUCUGGAUUUAUUUGUGUGGAUGUUUGUUAAGUUAACUCAUCAACUGACUCUCUCACUCUAAAAAAUGACAAAAAACUCAUAAACUGAUGGAACCGUUCCCAGAAAUAGAUAAAAAGGGGAUUUCCUUUUCUGGAUGAAGGUCCACAUGUUCGCAAAGAGGCAGAGUUAGCUUAGGUUCAGAGCGCGCCAUAUUUCAGUUAACACCUAGCCGUAUUUAGUUGUUUAUAUCAAGCACUAGCAGCUAGCUGUGUCUCAUAAAAAGCAAUCUCUGCAGAGACGCAGAGUGGCUAGAUUCAGAACCGCCUGGAUCUCGGUUAGAUACUGGCCAGAUGCUGUCUGUUGUUAUCCAGUGUUAUAGAGCAGUAUUUUUCACUCGUGUACAGUAGUGCAUACAUCAGUUUGUGUUGGUGUUGUGCAGACAAAUGUGACACGAAAUUAUCUUGGUUUCUUUGCAGGCCGGAAUGGGGCGUGGGAGAAGCUGCCGGCCGGCGGAUCUGUGUGAAAGCCACCAUUGAGAGGUACAAAAAGGCCAACAGUGACACAUCCAACUCUGGCACGGUUGCAGAAGUCAAUGCCCAGUUUGCUAUCUUAGGAGAACCUGGUGUGCUAUAUGGGGAAGCAAAGCAGCAGCCCACAACCCGACCUCUGACUCCAGAUGAAGGCACCACGACGCACCAUGAUUAUCCAUUGGAAGGUGUUGUGUGUUCUGGAAGAUGGAAGAGGAAGAAACCUAUUUUUGUUGAACUAAAUUUUCUGUAUUCUGUUUUGUUGUACGUAUCAUUUGAUAGUUUUGUAUAGGGACAAGUGAUACUAUUUUGUAGGGCUUUAUGGCCUGUGAUGUAAACAUAUUUAGUGCUGAAAUAUGAAAUUAUUUGCAAAAUUUGUC
Long non-coding RNA from Triticum aestivum (bread wheat), 1619 nucleotides. RefSeq lists it as uncharacterized. Lineage: Eukaryota; Viridiplantae; Streptophyta; Magnoliopsida; Poales; Poaceae. The transcript has 5 exons. The record is from RefSeq and is a predicted model, not a curated record.